Molecule: long non-coding RNA, 592 nt
Filed under: Malus domestica (apple)
Lineage: Eukaryota; Viridiplantae; Streptophyta; Magnoliopsida; Rosales; Rosaceae
Description: long non-coding RNA (MDOM_LNC016112)
Source: RNAcentral
CGAAAUUCAUAAAUUAAUUUUGUAUCCAUCAUUUUUUUUUUCUUACUAUGAUGUUACAAUUGUGAACCAGAAUCUAUUUUUAGGUGGAAUAGACACAGGCGCAAUUACAAUGGUGUGGGCGAUGGCAGAGCUGGCUAACAACCCUGGACUGAUGAAGAAAGCACAAGAAGAAGUCAGAAAAUACAUCGGAAACAAAGGAAAAGUCACAGAAACUGAAACAGAUCAGCUCCAAUACCUCAAGAUGGUAAUCAAAGAAACCCUAGGACUGCAUCCUCUAGCUCCAAUGAUCCUUCCCAGGGAAACCACGUCCCGUUGCAAAAUCCAGGGUUAUGACAUUGACCCCAAAACCCUAGUUCUUGUUAAUGCAUGGGCAAUCGCACGCAACCCCGGGUUUUGGAAGGACCCAGAAGAGUUCAUCCCUGAAAGGUUUGAUGGAAGCUCGGUUGAUUACCAAGGACAACAUUUUGAGUUUCUGCCGUUCGGAGCUGGUCGAAGAGUUUGUCCAGGAAUAUAUAUGGGAACGACAACGGUGAAGCUUGGACUUGCAAAUCUUGUCUACUGGUUCGACUGGAAAUUACCUGAUGGAAUUGUG